UGGCGGCAUGCNUAACACAUGCAAGUCGAACGAGACCUUCGGGUCUAGUGGCGCACGGGUGCGUAACGCGUGGGAAUCUGCCCUUUGCUACGGAAUAACUCAGAGAAAUUUGUGCUAAUACCGUAUAAUGUCGUAAGACCAAAGAUUUAUCGGCAAAGGAUGAGCCCGCGUAAGAUUAGCUUGUUGGUGAGGUAAAGGCUCACCAAGACGACGAUCUUUAGCUGGUCUGAGAGGAUGAUCAGCCACACUGGGACUGAGACACGGCCCAGACUCCUACGGGAGGCAGCAGUGGGGAAUAUUGGACAAUGGGCGAAAGCCUGAUCCAGCAAUGCCGCGUGAGUGAUGAAGGCCUUAGGGUUGUAAAGCUC
This 368-nucleotide ribosomal RNA is filed under the name uncultured bacterium. RNAcentral describes it as "bacterial SSU rRNA". It matches the Rfam family "Bacterial small subunit ribosomal RNA", at positions 37 to 433 of the family's 1533-position model. The record is from RNAcentral.